UGGGUUAGUGGCGGACGGGUGAGUAACGCGUGGGUAACCUGCCUUACACAGGGGGAUAACACUUAGAAAUAGGUGCUAAUACCGCAUAAGCGCACGGGGCUGCAUGGCCCAGUGUGAAAAACUCCGGUGGUAUAAGAUGGACCCGCGUCUGAUUAGCUUGUUGGCGGGGUAACGGCCCACCAAGGCGACGAUCAGUAGCCGGCCUGAGAGGGUGGACGGCCACAUUGGGACUGAGACACGGCCCAAACUCCUACGGAAGGCAGCAG
Molecule: ribosomal RNA, 266 nt
Filed under: uncultured bacterium
Lineage: Bacteria
Description: partial 16S ribosomal RNA
Rfam family: Bacterial small subunit ribosomal RNA
Source: RNAcentral